This 404-nucleotide unclassified non-coding RNA is filed under the name soil metagenome. RNAcentral describes it as "partial contains 5.8S ribosomal RNA, internal transcribed spacer 2, and large subunit ribosomal RNA". The stretch from base 1 to 121 matches the Rfam family "5.8S ribosomal RNA", at positions 35 to 154 of the family's 154-position model. The record is from RNAcentral.
GAUGAAGAACGUAGCGAAAUGCGAUAAGUAAUGUGAAUUGCAGAAUUCAGUGAAUCAUCGAAUCUUUGAACGCACCUUGCGCCCUUUGGCCAUUCCGAAGGGCAUGCCUGUUUGAGUAUCAUGAACACCUCAACUCUCAUGGCUUGCCAUGAUGAGCUUGGACUUUGGGGGUCUUGCUGGCCUGCAGUCAGCUCCUCUCAAAUGAAUUAGCUUUCCAGUGUUUGGUUGGCAUCACAGGUGUGAUAACUAUCUACACUUGUGGUUUCCACCAGGUAACCUUCAGUAACAUGGGGGUUUGCUGGAGCUCAUAAAUGUCUCUCCUCAGUGGGGACAGCUCUUUGAACAUUUGAUCUCAAAUCAGGUAGGACUACCCGCUGAACUUAAGCAUAUCAAUAAGCGGAGGA